RNAcentral lists this ribosomal RNA (437 nucleotides) under uncultured bacterium. RNAcentral describes it as "bacterial SSU rRNA". It matches the Rfam family "Bacterial small subunit ribosomal RNA", at positions 343 to 797 of the family's 1533-position model. The record is from RNAcentral.
UGGAGGCAGCAGUGGGGAAUCUUGCGCAAUGGGCGAAAGCCUGACGCAGCAACGCCGCGUGCGGGAUGAAGGCUCUCGGGUCGUAAACCGCCUUCAGCAGGGAUGAAAUUGACAGUACCUGCAGAAGAAGCCCCGGCUAAAUACGUGCCAGCAGCCGCGGUAAUACGUAUGGGGCUAGCGUUAUCCGGAUUCAUUGGGCGUAAAGAGCGCGUAGGCGGCUUGUUAAGUCAGAUGUGAAACCUGGGGGCUCAACCCGCAGCGUGCAUCUGAAACUGGCAGGCUUGAGUCUGGUAGAGGAAAGUGGAAUUCCCAGUGUAGCGGUGAAAUGCGCAGAUAUUGGGAGGAACACCAGUGGCGAAGGCGGCUUUCUGGGCCACGACUGACGCUGAGGCGCGAAAGCUAGGGGAGCAAACAGGAUUAGAUACCCUAGUAGUCCU